CAGCAGCCGCGGUAAUACGAAGGGGGCUAGCGUUGCUCGGAAUUACUGGGCGUAAAGGGCGCGUAGGCGGAUGUUUAAGUCAGAGGUGAAAGCCCAGGGCUCAACCUUGGAACUGCCUUUGAUACUGGACAUCUUGAGUGUGGGAGAGGUGAGUGGAACUCCGAGUGUAGGGGUGAAAUUCGUAGAUAUUCGGAAGAACACCAGUGGCGAAGGCGACUCACUGGCCCAUUACUGACGCUGAGGCGCGAAAGCGUGGGGAGCAAACAGGAUUAGAUACCCCAGUAGUCCCUGUCUCUUAUAC
RNAcentral lists this ribosomal RNA (301 nucleotides) under uncultured bacterium. RNAcentral's name for it is "partial 16S ribosomal RNA". It matches the Rfam family "Bacterial small subunit ribosomal RNA", at positions 509 to 807 of the family's 1533-position model. The record is from RNAcentral.